AGAAGAAGAAGAAGAAGAAGAAGAAGAAGAAGAGGAGGAAGGAAGGAAGGGGGCUGGCUACGGACUGUAUGCGGCCGAUCUCUAUUGUUCCUGGCUGCUACCUCCUCCUGCUGCUGCUAGAGGCUAUUGCUGCUCAGUUGUGCAUGCUGCCUGCUACUGCAUGCAGCCCUUGUUUGCUUCACAAAUGAGGUUGUUGUGCACUGCUACUGAUGAUGCUACCCUAAUCCUGUAACUUCUAGUGCAUGUUGCUGCCCUUAUGUUUUUGCUACAUGCAAGGUAAGGAGAUGUUGUCGAAGAGUUCAGAUGCUGAUAUGGCUGUUACACCUAAGAUGGUGGAACCGAUGUUGAGGCAAGAUCGGAUUUCAACGGCGGUUGUGAGGCUUGUGUCUACGAGACACGAGAUUGCUGAUUGAUUUCACUACUGUUAUUUAGUAAAUUCUUGUGAUGUAUAUAUUGAUGUUAUAUGUAAGAGGUAAAUAUUAAACAUGUGGGUUGUUAACAAAUGAAUUUUGUAUGUUGUAAUUUAUCACUUUAGUAAAUCACGAGUGAUAUUUGUAUGAUUUAUUAGCAUACUCUGAUUUUAGAAUGUGAUCUUGGCGGCAUUUGUGAAAUUAA
Long non-coding RNA from Macadamia integrifolia, 615 nucleotides. RefSeq lists it as uncharacterized. The record is from RefSeq and is a predicted model, not a curated record. NCBI's taxonomy places the organism in Eukaryota, Viridiplantae, Streptophyta, Magnoliopsida, Proteales, Proteaceae. The transcript is spliced from 2 exons.